Molecule: long non-coding RNA, 336 nt
Filed under: Volvox carteri
Lineage: Eukaryota; Viridiplantae; Chlorophyta; Chlorophyceae; Chlamydomonadales; Volvocaceae
Description: long non-coding RNA (VCAR_LNC001419)
Source: RNAcentral
UCGAGCUAGGAGGGCACCAAGGGCGCAUGGCAGGCUCCCGAAUGGGCAGGUUAAUGCCUGAAGGGCGCCAUAGGCAGGGCAUAAGGUGCUGUGCCAUGCUGUUUUCCGUGUGUGUUUGGACUGCGGCACCAGACCGCAAAGCCAACAGGCUGAAGGCUGGCAAGCUGCGAUUGUGUCUGCUGAGCGUUGAGCAGCCGACCUGGACCGCGGACUUGGCAGCUGAGCGAGCUCAUCAGUAAUAGCAGUUUGCAGUCAGGCCCCUGGUGCGACUCGAGGGGGCAUGUUGGUGUGAAGGGGGUGUGCCGUGUCGCCCCGUGGCCUGCAAAAGGCCCCACG